GCCCAAAAUCUAGCCCACUUAACUCACAUGACCCCCUUAACCAACUGUCUUAUAAACAAAACAUUUUAACAUUUUAGUACAGGUGAUCGAAAAAUUUCUAAGCGCUUCAGAUAAAGUACCGCAAGGGAAUAAUGAAAUAGAAAUGAAAUAACCUUAAAGCCUUAAAUAGCAGAGCUUCCCCCUCGUACCUUUUGCAUCAUGGUCUAGCCAGUUUCCCCAGGCAAAAUGAAAAUUUUAGUCUGACUCCCCGAAACUAAGCGAGCUACUUCGAAACAGCCCAAAGGGGCCAACCCGUCUCUGUUGCAAAAGAGUGGGAAGAUUUUCAAGUAGAGGCGAUAAACCUACCGAGCUUAGAGAUAGCUGGUUGUUCAGGAAAAGAGUCUUAGCUCUACCUUAAAUUUUUCUAUUACACCAAACAAAACACUAGAUUUAAGAGCUAUUCAAAUAAGGCACAGCUUAUUUGAAACGGGAUACAACCCCUAAUACUGGGUUAAAUCUAGAUAUAUCAAAUAAAGUGGGCCUAAAAGCAGCCAUCUUCCAAAAAGCGUUAAAGCUUAACAUAUUGUAUCUACAAUUCCACAAUUUUUACUUAACCCUUCAUCACUACUGAACUAUUUUAUACCCCCUAUAAAAGUCAUUAUGCUAGAACUAGUAACAAGAAAUUGCCCUUCUCCAAAAUGUAUGUUUAAACCAAAAUGGACACUCCACUGGUAGUUAACGUAAAUGUAAAAAUCAUAGCACCCCAUACUAGAAAACCCUAUGACUCCCAACGUCAACCUUACACUAGAACAUUACAGGAAAGAUUAAAAGAGAAAGAAGGAACUCGGCAAACCACAGUCCCGCCUGUUUACCAAAAACACCGCCUCUUG
Molecule: ribosomal RNA, 869 nt
Filed under: Amolops granulosus (granular torrent frog)
Lineage: Eukaryota; Metazoa; Chordata; Amphibia; Anura; Ranidae
Description: partial 16S ribosomal RNA
Rfam family: Bacterial large subunit ribosomal RNA (bases 172-647)
Source: RNAcentral